Long non-coding RNA from Populus euphratica (Euphrates poplar), 1267 nucleotides. RefSeq lists it as uncharacterized. The record is from RefSeq and is a predicted model, not a curated record. The transcript has 2 exons. NCBI's taxonomy places the organism in Eukaryota, Viridiplantae, Streptophyta, Magnoliopsida, Malpighiales, Salicaceae.
UGCCUACCCAGUAUGCUUUCCUGGCCCUUACCUUGUUUUACAAAUUACAAGAAACGCACCAAAUAUUAGAGGAACAACAUCCAACUCCAGUGUCUCAAAUUUACCACCGUGUGCAUUUGUCUUUCAGGUGAAUUAUUGGAGACAAAAACUUUAAUAGAUAGAAUAUGUAACUCCAACAAAAUGCUUGAGUUGAGUUGCUUAGAAGCUUAGCAGAGAGCUUUUGGUGGUAACUCGUUCAUGAUUUUUUGUUAUUUGUAUCAUGUCAUGAUACUAAAAAUUGGAAUAGUUCCAACUGGUUUGGAUCAACAGUUUUUGGUUGGAUCAGCUUCUUUUACCUAUACAACUUUUUUAGCUCCAGAAUUCGUGCAAUGCCACACUUCAUCAACACUUGUUUACAAUAGCAAUUGUAGUCUUAAAAGUGGGGUCUUUUCCGGUCAACAAGGUUGAUCAGACCAAGGUGUGAGCUCAUCCUAGAAACCAAAAAUGCUGUUUCUUUUGAAAUGGGCUUUUUAACCCUCUUUUCCAUGGAGUUAACGCUAGGAUUUGAUUAAUGGUGGUGAAAUGACACAAUUAUGGAUGGGUGCUUUUGUUGUCAUCUCAUUUCUUUACAUGUCAGCAGGCCAGCGAAUGAUUUGCUAGAGUAAUUGGUAAACCAACACCCAGUGCCUGCAAUAUUCUUUGUUGGGGUAUUUUGCAUGAUCAAAUCUAAGUCUUUUAUGGUUUAGGUUUAUAAGGCAUUUGUUACUAUUAAAUUUACUUGCUGAAUCUGGAUAGUGAACGCAUGCCAAACUCUUGGUUUUCACUGAUUGAAUUUUCAUUUGGAUUGUAGACUAUAUAGAACGGUUAGGUUUGUUGAUUUCGUAUUUCACUAAGUGUCCACUCAUGUACUUUCUUCAUCAAAUGUUAUGAAGUUAAACGAGUCUAUAACCCUACAACGGCUGCCGUCCUUUUUUUCUGAAAGUGGCUAAAACUCUUGAACUGUCAUCGCAAUAGAAUUUGAUUAGAGGAUCUCCAAGAUAGAAGAACAUAUUAAGCAGCUGGGGUCAGAUUCUGUCCUCACUACCAACUGUUUAUUGUUCACAAAUCUCUUGCAAGUCUGCCAUGGUUGCAGGGAAGAGUCUAAAUGAAACGAAAUUUGCUCUAUUUCUUUCCAAGCUUGUAGAGUUCCAUUGUAGUGUAUGAACAGUGAUCAAGGACAAUCUAUUAAUCUGGCACCUGAAAUGCUGUCAACAACAAAAUUAUCAUAUUUCAUGUUAGCUUGACCAGU